GUUGAACGCUGGCGGCGUGCUUAAUACAUGCAAGUCGAGCGAAAAGACGCGGAGCUUGCCCCACUGAUGUUAGAGGCGGACGGGAGAGUAACACGUGGAUACCCUGCCUAUAAGAAUGGGAUCACUUCGUGAAACAGGAGCUCAUACCGGAUAAUAUUUUAAACCGCAGGGUUGAAUAGUGAAUUUCGGCUUUCGCGUUUCUAAUAGCCGGUUUCGCGCCGCAUUAGCUAGUUGGUAAGGUAACGGCCUACCAAGGCGACGAUGCGUAGCCGACCUGAGAGGGUGAUCGGCCACACUGGAACUGAGACACGGUCCAGACUCCUACGGGAGGCAGCAGUAGGGAAUCUUCCGCAAUGGGCGAAAGCCUGACGGAGCAACGCCGCGUGAGUGAUGAAGGUCUUCGGAUCGUAAAACUCUGUUAUUAGGGAAGAACAAAUGUGUAAGUAACUAUGCACGUCUUGACGGUACCUAAUCAGAAAGCCACGGCUAACUACGUG
RNAcentral lists this ribosomal RNA (497 nucleotides) under uncultured bacterium. Its description in RNAcentral is "partial 16S ribosomal RNA". It matches the Rfam family "Bacterial small subunit ribosomal RNA", at positions 28 to 507 of the family's 1533-position model. The record is from RNAcentral.